AGAGCGAACGCUGGCGGCAGGCCUAACACAUGCAAGUCGAACGGAUCCUUCGGGAUUAGUGGCGGACGGGUGAGUAACACGUGGGAACGUGCCCUUUGGUUCGGAACAACUCAGGGAAACUUGAGCUAAUACCGGAUAAGCCUUUCGAGGGAAAGAUUUAUCGCCAUUGGAGCGGCCCGCGUAGGAUUAGCUAGUUGGUGAGGUAAAAGCUCACCAAGGCGACGAUCCUUAGCUGGUCUGAGAGGAUGAUCAGCCACAUUGGGACUGAGACACGGCCCAAACUCCUACGGGAGGCAGCAGUGGGAAUCUUGCGCAAUGGGCGAAAGCCUGACGCAGCCAUGCCGCGUGAAUGAUGAAGGUCUUAGGAUUGUAAAAUUCUUUCACCGGGACGAUAAUGACGGUACCCGGAGAAGAAGCCCCGGCUAACUUCGUGCCAGCAGCCGC
Molecule: ribosomal RNA, 444 nt
Filed under: uncultured soil bacterium
Lineage: Bacteria
Description: bacterial SSU rRNA
Rfam family: Bacterial small subunit ribosomal RNA
Source: RNAcentral